This 64-nucleotide transfer RNA is filed under the name Panstrongylus rufotuberculatus. Its description in RNAcentral is "tRNA-Pro". Lineage: Eukaryota; Metazoa; Arthropoda; Insecta; Hemiptera; Reduviidae. The record is from RNAcentral.
CAGUAGGUAGUUUAUUAAAAAUAUUAAUUUUGGAGAUUAAUGAUGAGGUUUUCCUUUCUACUGA